RNAcentral lists this long non-coding RNA (6103 nucleotides) under Sus scrofa (pig). RNAcentral describes it as "lncRNA (ENSSSCG00035002226.1)". Lineage: Eukaryota; Metazoa; Chordata; Mammalia; Artiodactyla; Suidae. The record is from RNAcentral.
AGCUGAGAAUUAUUAAUAUAAUUUUAAAAGAUGGUGAUAUGAUAUUAGUAAAUAAUAUACACAAUACAUAUUGAUAAGUAAAACUAUUUUAUUGAUGACUAACUUGUCAUUUGGAAUUAUUGUUUAAUUUCCUUUUAGAAAUGGUAAUAAUAAUAGCCUGGUUAUCAAUGAGAAUAGCACUGCUACUAAGGAGAGUUUUAGAAUUUUAUGGAAUAUUUUGGUUAUAUCACUGAUGAGUGUUCUAAGGCAUUUAGUGAGUGGAAACAGGAAUAUUAAGUAUCCUACAAAUGCAGAGCUACCUUAUUCAAUUUUUAAAUAUCUUCCUAGACAGUCAGAUGAAGACAUCAGAUGGAAUCAUUUGUGUUCUACUCUACUUAUGUGUAUUAUUUUAAUAAAACUACUUUCCUUUUAUUUCUUGAAAUGAUUAAAGCUAGGAUAUUACAUUAAUUUUUAAAAUUACAUCAUUUGUAAUUUUGUCCUCUAUUAAUUUCACUUCAGAAAAGUAAAGAGCAUACUAUAAAAUAUUUCUUAUAAAAAGAUUUUUUAGGUGUUCCCUGGUGGCUCAAUGGGUUAAGUGCUGUCACUGCCAUGGCUCUGGUUACUGCGAUAGCAUGAGUUUGAUCACUGGCCUGGGAACUUCCACAUGCCAAAGGUGCAACCAAAAAAUAGACAAAUCAAAAAUUUAAAAAGUGAGUUCCCAUCGUGGCUCUGCAGUAACGAACCUGACUAAUAUCCAUGAGGACUUGGGUUCAGUCCUUGGCCGUGGCUAGGGUGGCAGCUACAGCUGUGAUGCAGUCCCCAGCCUGGGAACUUCCAUAUGCUGUGGGUGAGGCCCUAAAAAAAAAGCAAAAAAUAAAAAUAAUAAAUAAAUAAAAAUAUUUUUUAUCUGAUAGAGCUGAUAUCCACAGGAUAAGGAGUGAAGAAAUCACUAGAAUGGAAAAGAAUAAAACUGAAUUUCGGAAAUUCCUUAACUAGAAAAUGUCCAAAGAAAUGUGAUGACGGCAACUUAUAAGGAGUAAAACUUGCUGAUAUCAUGUUAUAGUGCUCAGGUUUGGUUUCAUAGCUUGACCUUCUCAGCUCUCUUAGUGAACCAGGGAGGUAAAGGUUGAUUUCAGUGAUAUUUUCAGUAGUUUCCGGAGGACUGCUCAGAGAAAGUUUUUCAUUGAUAUUUAUCCUUGCCAAGUUUUUGUUGUAUGUUGAUGGUGGUGGUGGUGGCUUCAUGUCUAUUUUAACUAUUUUAACCCCUCUUGAGAAUUACUCAUGCCAUUUCCAAAUGGGUUUCUCCAAAAUUAAAUCAACAUCUAAGAAAUCAGCUCAGAAAUCCUUGUAUUAACAGCUCAAACUUUGAAGUAUUUACAUUCCUUUGUAUUUCAGCCCAUCUGGGCUAUAAGACUGAGUCUUGCCCAAAAAUGCGACCUUUUGAAUAAGCUUCAAAUACCCAGUGGGCCAGUUGCAACAAAUGUUCGUGGACUUCAAAGAAUCCUCUUUUUAGAGAACAAUCAGGAUAAAGGCAUAUGUAAUCAUUCCUAGUGGGAUUCUGUUCAUCUUCUUAAUAAUUCAAUCACCUGAGUAAUCAUAAAGCUUAAAAUAUACUCACCUCUGUAUCUCUUUUGCUUAUUAAACAAACAGUCUUAUCUAGCUAUUUUUACCGAAUUAUCUUCAAAGAAUGUCAGUUCUUUUUUCUCUGAAGCCAAAGAAUGAUUAAUGCAUACAAGACGUAACUCAAGAGAAGGCAUCUUAUUAAUUAAAAUCCUAAAUCGAACAACGUAAUAAGAUUGUUUCUACACAGUAGCUUACUAGUAAUUUUUACAGAAACAGAAAUAUAUGUGAACACAUGAAACGUUCAAUAAUGUAUUGCUUGAACGAAUGAGUACAGUAAUUAAUGAGUAAUAUAUCUAUGGAGUAUUUGUAAGUACUCAUUACAACUACAUUUUGGAGAUCUAAGUUAAGCUAAAACAUAAAGUACAUUCCAAGUGUGUUUUUACUAUAGAAAGAGCAUGAAAAAAUCCUAGUUAAUCAUAUUAAUGUAAAUAAUUAUAAAAUUUAAAUAUGCUUGAUGCUUUCAAUGUGUACUUUGUACUGUUAUUUGGAUUUCAUAUCUAUAUUAAGUCAUUUGACUCUCAUAACAACUCUAUGAUGUAUUGUAUACCAUUUGACAGACUAAGAAUCUUAUUAAGUGAUUUGCCUUAGGAUACAGAUGACUUUGGAAUUCAUUACUAUAAGAUCCUAUUGAGUGACCUAAUGAAUAAGAAGAUGUUUUGAUGAAAAUUCAGAAUUGUAGAUUGUAAUAAUUAAAACUUUUAUAGUAAGUAUUAGAAAUAUAAAUAAAGGAGAGAAAGAGAAAGAAAAAAAAAAAGGAAGAAAGGAAGGGAGGAAGGGAGAGAGAGAGAGAGAGACAGAGAGGGAAGGAGGGAGGAAGGAAAGAAGGCAGGAGGACACAAAGUCAGUGAGGCUUCUGGACUGACGCAGACAAGGAUGAAGUGAUACCCAGACCUGUUGGAAGGACCAGAAUCACAAAUAGGAAAUCUAUCAGGAGCAUCACAAUAUUUUGUUGUUGUGGCUGUUCAUCAUAUUUGCUUCUCUGCUUAACUGUGUCGUUUCUCUUUUUCUCUCUGCUCCCCAGUACACAUGACCAUCGUGGCUUUCAAACUAAUUUGUUACAUCUCCAGCCACAAAGAACAAAUUAAAAAUCUCUCCGCUCAAAUUUCAUUUUCUUGAAGGAUGACCUUUGUAGGUCUCUACAUCAAGAGUGAGGCAUGAAGAUGUCAAAUAUUCAAGAGAGAGUUUUGCUAGUUGCUCUAGACAGAUCUCCCAUGCUGGUCUGUAGUGUUGUGGGAUCAUUGAAGUAUAUCGGGGUUAGACUUUCAGGUGUUCUGAACAGAAACUACUUUGAUCAACUAAACUAUACACAGUAUUUCAGAUCCUAGGGAAUUAACAUUAAAAUAACUCUUAGGAGAUGGCUUAAAAAAAAUUAGCCCCAAUUUAAUACGGUGAAAAAUAGACCUGAGUCAAAAAUCAUGACUGAUCCUGGAUGUAAGACCUUGAGGAUAAAGAGCAGUUUCCACUAGGUAGUGUGGGAUAAACAUUGAAAAUUCUUCUUGAAUUUUCCCUUUUAUAUGCAAUCUGCCUUCUCUGAAUAACAAUUGCCUUAGAUUCCAGACCUAAGGAAGCCAUGUUGACCCUGCUGGAGGAUUUCCUAGUCUCCCUCAACAAAAUAUUUGCAAAUAUCUCUCGACAUAUACAGUACUGCAGAGGGAUCUUCUUUUUUUUAUCUUUUUUUUUAUUUAAUGAUUUUUAUUUUUUUCCAUUAUAGAUGGUUUACAAUGCAGAGGGAUCUUCUUUGUGCUGAUUUUUAUCAGUUUCACAUCAGAAAGUGACCUUUUUGUGUGUGUAUGUGGGUGUGUGUGACACAUAAAAUACUGCUUGAUUACUAUCAUGAACAUUUGGUAAACAAAGACAUAAAUAAGAGGUGUAGUCAAGAGUCAGGAAGCAGAUGGGAUCAGAACUAAAGUUUAAGUAUAAAAAUAAGUGAAAAUGGCCCAGGAUGUGUGCCACAAAUGCUACUAGUACAAGAAUUGCUGUCUAAUGUGUCAACUAGUGUACCUAGAGAUGUCAGGCUGGAUCAAAAUAUAAUAUUAAGAUAUACCUAGGUGAAUACAGCAUAGUGUGUGCUGGCCAAGAACCAGUCGAUUGGGGUUAUUGAUUGGGGAGCAGUCAUGCACAAACUACCAAAGUAGUUGCAUUUGGUUGCAAAGUGGUGUACCACACAUGUGGGGGGCCCUUCACACGUUGGCCAUAAUAUCUUUGUAUAUUUGUUACAAAUUUGUGACAGAUAAUAACGAACAUAUUUUAGGGAAAGUGUGCCUUUUUCAAAUUCACAUGAAACUUGUAUAGGCUAAAGUGGUGUCAGUUACCCUUUUUUAUAGAGAGAAUGCAAAAUGAGAUGAAAGGUUUUAAAGGAAACUUAGUUAUCUUAACCUCAGAUCAGUGUUAAUUAACUACCCUUUUUAAGAGACAGUAAUAUAUCAUGGGCUGGGCAUGAAAUAGGAUAUUUCGUCUUUUGUCCGCUAUAAAUGCACACCACCAGGUUGUCCACCUAGCUGUGUUCCCUGUGAAAGAUUCUUGUCUCCGUUCAGAAGGAAUUCAGCAAAAAGACAGGGAAAUAGAGAAAGUAAAGUGAGGAUUUAUUUAAGUGAGAAGACACUUAUCUCCCCAAAUGUGUGGUUUCCGGUCUGUCAGUCUAGAGGUUUCUGCUUUUCUCUGUCUGCCCUUGGGUACCCGCUGUUUCCAUGAUGCAUGGUUUUCUGCCACCUGGCCCAAGCCUUCCUUUCUCUGCUCUUACCUAGCUAUCUGCCUCCUAUGAUAACUAUAGUAACCAGUACCCAGUAGUUUAUGAUUUUGGUUAAAUAGAUUCUGAACCAGCACCCUGAUUCAUAAUAUCUAAAAUUUCUGUUUUCGUAAUUUAAAAAUGUUCCUGUUUUAGAAUUUUAUUCAAAUUUCCAAGGAAAUUCUUCGUAUUUCUUUCAUUUUCUCUCUUUCCCUCUGCCUCUCCCUUUCCUUGUAGUAUACUGGGGUUUAUAGGACUUUGAAUUUUCUUAAAAUAUGUGACCUGUGGGAUAGAGAGAGACCAAAGAGUGAAAGAGAUCGCGAGAGAGCAAGCUUUAGUGAGUGGGCUUGAGCUGUUGAGGAAAGGAGUCAGAGGAGGCUGCUGUUAACAGUACUUUACCAGUAUGGUUCCUAUUGCCCCUAUUGUGGGAUUGACUAACCAGUGGUUUCUUUUAUAGUUCAGAAAUCAAACUAACGGUGAAAGAAAACUCUGUCUCGCCUGUAAUCUCAGGCUUGCAGAUGCACAUAUUCCCAUGGGAGGCAUGCAGUGGAAGAGCAUGGCACUAUUGCCUUUGGCUGUUGAUUGCUCUCUGUAUAAUUUGAAAAGUUGCCUGUUCCCACAGCUUUUGAAAUAUAUCAACAGUAAUAGAUUCAUAGUCGUUACUGUAGCCUACUGGAGGUUUGGCCAUUGUGACAGAUGUCUUCUCAAUUUCAUAUUGUAGGUUCUUAUUUACACCCUCCCCCCCCAGAAAAUUUCUUAUUUAAAACUCUAACAUUAAUGCAUCUGAUAUGAUGUUUAUAUCCAAGAGUGACUUUAGGUAUCAAUCUCUAACUUUAAGUUAAUAGUUAAUAGUUAAUUAAUGAUAAUGAGCCAAACACACCAGUAUCAACACAGCAUACUUUAGCUGCACUACAGUUUCUGGCAAAGAUUACUAGAUGAGAACAAUUAAACUCUGAGGUAUACUUUUGUUUUUAAUCAUUGGGGUGAUGCAUUUCUUGGUUACACAUUUAAAGUCUCUAUUUUUGCCUUAGAAUCUUAAAGACUUUGUCUUCGAUUUCUUUGUGUAUCUUAGAUUUGUGUUUUAGAGAUAUUUCAUCAGUGGAUGAGAAAUGUAGAGUGAUCCUUAAACAUCCCCACCAAGUUCAACAGUAAUCCAAGACAGAAGAGGUUGCCUGUACCACCUAAACUGACAACUGUUUGCAAGAGAAAUUCUACGCAUACACAGCAUACUCUAUAUUUUUAUGUCUUAUCCAGUGGACUUCUGGCAAAUAUAUUAAGAAAGAACAACUAUAUCUCCCUCUGUUGUUUAGUUUCUUAAGAAACUCCUGAGUUUAAGGCAUAUAUGUGUCAGUAAAUAUUUACUGUAAAUAAUACAUAUAUUUACUGUAAAUAUUCUUAACAGUGAUUGGGCUUGAAGAAAUACCUUCAGGGUUCAGAUAUUGCUUUCAUCAUUGUGAUUCCCUUAGCUUUGAAUAAAAAUUGUCGUCAUCAUUUUUUGAGAUUUACCAUCUGAUUUGUUUCAUCUGGUAGCUGCUUUGGUUUUCAUUUCCCUUUUUUUUUUUUUAAUGUAUUGUACUAAUUUCUUCUUUUAAAUAAUUUUCACAAUCUUAGAAACAAGUAUGGAUGAUAAUAAGUUAUGUAUGAGAGGGAGAGGGGGAGAGAGAGAGAGAAAACAGUAGCUCUCCACGGAAAGCAAGUAGGGUCUUGCAUGCAAAGUUUUUUUGGUCUUUUUUUAGUUUAUCAUCAGAUCACCCAGAAAGCACAGGUUAAAAGCUU